This 454-nucleotide ribosomal RNA is filed under the name Callyntra penai. RNAcentral's name for it is "partial large subunit ribosomal RNA". It matches the Rfam family "Bacterial large subunit ribosomal RNA", at positions 1807 to 2532 of the family's 2925-position model. Lineage: Eukaryota; Metazoa; Arthropoda; Insecta; Coleoptera; Tenebrionidae. The record is from RNAcentral.
UCAAAAACAUGUCCUUUUGUUAAUAAUUUAAGGUCUGACCUGCCCAAUGAUUAAUUAAAUGGCCGCAGUAUACUGACUGUGCAAAGGUAGCAUAAUCAUUAGUUUAUUAAUUGUAAGCUGGAAUGAAUGGUUUGAUGAGAAAAUAACUGUCUCAAUUUAAUUGUUUUAGAAUUUUAAUUUUAAGUGAAAAAGCUUAAAUUUUAAAGGAAGACGAGAAGACCCUAUAGAGUUUAAUAUUUCUGUAUUAUGGUUGAUUUUAGUUUUAUUUAAAAUUUUAAUUUGGAAAUAUUUUAUUGGGGUGAUAUUAAAAUUUAAUAAACUUUUAAUUUAUUAUAACAUUUUUUUUUGAUUAUUUGAUCCUAAUUUUUAGAUUAUAAGAUAAAAUUACCUUAGGGAUAACAGCGUAAUUUUUUUUAAGAGUUCUUAUCGAAAAAAAAGUUUGCGACCUCGAUGU